CCCUACGGGGGGCAGCAGUGAGGAAUAUUGGUCAAUGGGCUUACGCCUGAACCAGCCAAGUCGCGUGAGGGAAGACUGCCCUGUGGGUUGUAAACCUCUUUUGUCAGGGAGCAACGCCGGCUACGUGUAGCCGGACUGAGAGUACCUGAAGAAAAAGCAUCGGCUAACUCCGUGCCAGCAGCCGCGGUAAUACGGAGGAUGCGAGCGUUAUCCGGAUUUAUUGGGUUUAAAGGGUGCGCAGGCGGAGGUGCAAGUCAGCGGUCAAAUUGCGGGGCUCAACCCCGCACUGCCGUUGAAACUGCAUC
This 305-nucleotide ribosomal RNA is filed under the name uncultured bacterium. RNAcentral describes it as "bacterial SSU rRNA". It matches the Rfam family "Bacterial small subunit ribosomal RNA", at positions 337 to 639 of the family's 1533-position model. The record is from RNAcentral.